UAGGUCCUGUAGGGUGACCAUGAUUGUUGAGAAUUAAAUUUGCCCUCACCAAAAAGUAAAAACAUAGGAAAAAGUGUUGUUGUUUCUCCUAAAUACGACGGUGAUCGAUCAAUUAUCAGUUACUGAGUGUGCAGGAUUAGUCCUGCUCACGUCUCAUGAAUCAUCCUGUAUAUAAGUUUAUUACAUGCAAAUGAGGUUGAGUACCUACUCGCAAGUUAAAGGGUAACACGUGUCAUUACAUCCAUUUCUAAGAAUACAGCUGGAAACUAAUCAUUUUUUUUUUCUAUAUUUUGAUUUGUGUUUUUAAGUACAAAACAAUACCAGCCUAUUUAAAUAUAUCAAAUACAAAUAUGUAGAUAUGUAUUAUGAUGAUAAUGUAAAAUUGUUUUAAAUGUUAAUAAUGUUGGUGAUGUUUUUGUUUAAAUGACGCACUUCAUAAACUCGUUAUACGCGUGUAUGAAUAGUAGGGUAAAUUACUCAAUAAUUGGCCCUUUAAAGUACAGUCGUAGGCCGUUUAAGGGGCCAAUCCUUUGGGGCUUAAACAAGUUACUCAAUGUCACUAAUGAUCAGACAUCGUAAAUUUUAUAGCAUUUUCGGUGCAGCGGAGUGGUGUUAACGGAAUUGGUAUAAACAAUUUCAAGCCUAAUGAUUAAUUAGCGUUAAUUACGUUAAUAUUAACCUUAAUUUAUCAUUUCAGUUGGAAUUAUCUAUACCAAUUCCGUUAACACCACUCCGCUGCACCAAAAAUGCUAUAAAAUUAACGAUGUCUGCUAAUAAUAGGUAUAAUGUUAUGUAUAUUUUGUUUGUGAUACAAUUGAUUGUUAAGGGAAAAUGAAGUAUAUAAUAUGACUUGUUUAA
This is a long non-coding RNA of Cydia splendana, 858 nucleotides long. RefSeq lists it as uncharacterized. The record is from RefSeq and is a predicted model, not a curated record. The transcript is spliced from 2 exons. NCBI's taxonomy places the organism in Eukaryota, Metazoa, Arthropoda, Insecta, Lepidoptera, Tortricidae.